RNAcentral lists this transfer RNA (74 nucleotides) under candidate division Zixibacteria bacterium SM23_73. Its description in RNAcentral is "tRNA-Met". It matches the Rfam family "tRNA". Rfam says of the family: Transfer RNA (tRNA) molecules are approximately 80 nucleotides in length. Lineage: Bacteria; Pseudomonadati; Candidatus Zixiibacteriota. The record is from RNAcentral.
GGGUCCAUAGCUCAGUUGGUUAGAGCAACUGACUCAUAAUCAGUGGGUCGCAGGUUCGAGUCCUGCUGGGCCCA